GACGAACGCUGGCGGCGUGCUUAACACAUGCAAGUCGAACGGAAAGGCCCUGCUUGCAGGGUACUCGAGUGGCGAACGGGUGAGUAACACGUGGGUGAUCUGCCCUGCACUUCGGGAUAAGCCUGGGAAACUGGGUCUAAUACCGGAUAGGAGCCAUUUUUAGUGUGAUGGUUGGAAAGUUUUUUCGGUGUAGGAUGAGCUCGCGGCCUAUCAGCUUGUUGGUGGGGUAAUGGCCUACCAAGGCGGCGACGGGUAGCCGGCCUGAGAGGGUGGACGGCCACAUUGGGACUGAGAUACGGCCCAGACUCCUACGGGAGGCAGCAGUGGGGAAUAUUGCACAAUGGGCGCAAGCCUGAUGCAGCGACGCCGCGUGGGGGAUGACGGCCUUCGGGUUGUAAACUCCUUUCGCUAGGGACGAAGCUUUUUGUGACGGUACCUAGAUAAGAAGCACAGGCUAACUACGUG
This 465-nucleotide ribosomal RNA is filed under the name uncultured bacterium. RNAcentral's name for it is "partial 16S ribosomal RNA". It matches the Rfam family "Bacterial small subunit ribosomal RNA", at positions 28 to 507 of the family's 1533-position model. The record is from RNAcentral.